CGUUGUGCUUGUUUCUCUGCUACAAGCUUUUAAAACUGCACACGUUUCUCAAUCUCCUGCCACGGCCCUCUGCAUGAUUGCUACGUAUCUGCCAUGCUGAUCUCCAUUUCUCUUUACAGCCGCUAUAAAUAGAGGCCAUGCCCUCCGUUCCUCGCUGCAGCAGCCUAGAAGCUCCGCCAUGAUCAGUUGACGGUCUGUUUUGUUCAUCUGUGUGUGCCUAUUUUCUCAGGAAAAUAGAUCACAUAUGGAGAGGCAGCAGACUUUGAAACUUUGAUUGGAGGUCUACUUCUUCCUUAAAAGCAUGGGUGAAGGGAUGAUUUGAAUCAAACCAAACCCAGCUAAUAAAGGAUGAGUUAAGGCUUCGACCUCAGCUGAAGGCUCUGCCAUAGAAAUGGGUGUUGGCGUGGGAGAGUAACUAUAUCUAUAGAAAUGGUUAUGUUGUAUUACAUCUGGCCAGGAGGAGACCUUUAUAAAAGUGUCUCUUGGCAUCACAAAUGUAAUAUUUAUGAAUAAAAUAAGUGUUACAAUUUGAAUGCUUACCUUUCCGUACGACGAUGUAUUCUCCCAGAUAUAUAUAUUUGUUCAUGGCAGUUUAAAUGAAAAGAAGAAGAAGAGAUAUUUAGUCA
Prunus dulcis (almond) is the source of this 626-nucleotide long non-coding RNA. RefSeq lists it as uncharacterized. The transcript has 2 exons. The record is from RefSeq and is a predicted model, not a curated record. Lineage: Eukaryota; Viridiplantae; Streptophyta; Magnoliopsida; Rosales; Rosaceae.